AGAUGUAUAGUAACGAAGUAGAACUACUUCACUACUGUACUUAAGUACUAAAAGGCGGUAUCUGUACUUUACUAGAGUAUUAUUUUUUUCUCCUACUUCCACUUUUACUUCGGUACAUAUUUUCGCUGAGUUUAAUACUUUUACUCCGAUAUUUUUUUUAUGUGCUGCAUCGUUACUCGUUACAAUUAUAAUAAUGUUACGAAUCAUUCCAUUACAAACCACUGCCAGAACUGUAGAUGGCAGGUUUGAUGAAGCUGCCACAUCAUUAAGCGAAUCAAGCGAGACUGCGCGUGCUGACUGAACCAAUAGUAUCCAUCUGCAGACCCGCAGCACAGCCGUUUUAGAACCGCCGUUUCAGAACCGGAAGUGAGGGGCGGAGCUAUUAACACCUAGAAAUGGCGGAGAGCACGGUGAGUACUUUUGCUGUCAUAUGGUGAAUAAUUUUCAUUAGUUUUCACAAGUUUUUAUUAGGUGUUUAUAUUUAAUUUGUGAUUGGCUUCAUUGUCUUAUUGAAUCUUCAAUUUGUUGUCGUUUUUAAGGUGUAGAAGUUUUCUGCGGAUGUUUUGAUUAAUCUCGUGUUGUAAAUGGGCCUUGCAUAUGAAUAGUUUGUUCUCGUUUCACCUGUUGUAUGCAUUGUUUGUGAAAUAAUGUUACCGUAUAGUUUAGCUAUUUUAAUCCCAUUUGUCGUGCUUUCAUCUCUUAUAGAGACAUAUAACUAUUCAGAAUGGUGACGCAUUACCUGAGCUGCAGCAGUGCAACAAGUGUUGCAGCAAUUAUCACUGCCCUUUUUGCGCGGCCAGCGUGUUUAAGCCAGCCAAACUGGUCAAAUUAAAAACCCAUCUUCAAAGCCACUUUAACAAGGCAGUAGUCUGUGGAGGCUAUACUAUACACAGAUGUGGACUAGGAUGUAGACCAGCUCUACAUCACCACUGUCCAUACUGUGAAACAACAAUUUUAAAGAGAGGUGAUUUUGAAAAACAUGUACAGGUUUGCAAAAAAACCCCACCUCCAACUUCAGCCACAAUUCCAUCUCCAACCACUGCAGCAUUGACCACACCAGCUGUGAGAGGGACACCAUCAAAGACCCAAAUACUGUUGACUGCUAUGGUUUCAGAGCAUCAAACUGUAUGUAAUUUUGCAUAUUAGCAAAUAUGUUUAUUAUGUGUAUUUUUGUUGCAGCAAGAUGACAGCCAAAAUUGCACCUGGAACAUGGAUGCUAAUAAAAAACAAGGAUAUCCCCCAACAGAUUGGUGGUGUGGACUGUGGAGUCUUCAUGUUGAUGUAUGCUCUACAUCUUGCCUUGGGAGCACCCUUUGAUUUUACAUCUUGUGACAUGCCAAAGAUUCGGAGAUGGUGGACUCUAAUUCUUUUAGAGAACUUUGGGGUUUUCUCUGAAAGUGCAGAUACCCUUCAAGAGGCUCUUCCACACAGAGAACCAGCUAAGCUUAGCAGCAGUGAGG
Carassius gibelio (silver crucian carp) is the source of this 1460-nucleotide long non-coding RNA. RefSeq lists it as uncharacterized. Lineage: Eukaryota; Metazoa; Chordata; Actinopteri; Cypriniformes; Cyprinidae. The transcript has 6 exons. The record is from RefSeq and is a predicted model, not a curated record.